GACAGAGGGUGCAAACGUUGUUCGGAUUUACUGGGCGUAAAGCGCGUGUAGGCGGCUUUGCAAGUCGGAUGUGAAAUCCCACGGCUCAACCGUGGAAGUGCAUCCGAAACGGCAUGGCUGGAGUCCCGGAGAGGAAGGUGGAAUGCUUGGUGUAGAGGUGAAAUGCGUAGAUAUCAUUUGGAACGCCAAUGGUGAAAACAGGUAGCUGGGAGUGUGCUGACGCUGAGACACGAAAGCCAGGGGAGCAAACGGG
RNAcentral lists this ribosomal RNA (253 nucleotides) under uncultured bacterium. RNAcentral's name for it is "partial 16S ribosomal RNA". It matches the Rfam family "Bacterial small subunit ribosomal RNA", at positions 524 to 776 of the family's 1533-position model. The record is from RNAcentral.